CUCACAGAAGAUUGUAAUUUAACCUAGCCAGCCUCAAUUUAACAAGAUGAGGAACAUCAUUCUGUUGAUUCUGAUGCUGCACUGCGGCCAAGCCAGCAUUCUUGGUAAAAGUGUUGUCCAGACUCCUUCUGAUCUCCUGAAGAAAGAAAAUGAAGUUGCCGAGAUCAAAUGUACAAACAAUGUCCAAAACUAUGAUGUCACACAAUGGUACAAGCAAAGCCAGAUCACCAAGGACCUUCAGUUCAUGGGAUACCUGAAUAUUAAACAAGUGGUCAAGGAGAAUAAAUUUAAUGACAAGAUCAAACUGGAUGGAGAUGGAAGAAAUAAUGUCACUCUGACUAUCAACACGCUCACAGUGAAUGACAGUGCAGUGUAUUUCUGUGCAGCGUAUUACACAGUGCUCAGAGUCACUUCUGUCUGAUACAAAAACUGCACGAUUAUCAGUGACUGCAGAUUCACUCCCACUUUGCACCUGGACUAGUGGUUCAGUGAGUCUAAUGCAUACAAGUAUAGCUUAGCA
Molecule: non-coding RNA, 520 nt
Organism: Carassius auratus (goldfish)
Lineage: Eukaryota; Metazoa; Chordata; Actinopteri; Cypriniformes; Cyprinidae
Source: the annotation of a RefSeq genome assembly